Molecule: RNA transcript, 1308 nt
Organism: Nannospalax galili (Upper Galilee mountains blind mole rat)
Lineage: Eukaryota; Metazoa; Chordata; Mammalia; Rodentia; Spalacidae
Gene name: ras-related protein Rap-2c pseudogene
Exons: 1
Source: RefSeq, a predicted model, not a curated record
CCACCCUCCGCGCUGCAGCCGACGUGCGCGCGCCCACGGCCUGCGCCCCGCCCUCCCUCGGCGCCCGCCUUCCAGCGCCAUUCCCCCGCGUCCCCUCGCGUCCCCGGCCAUGGAGGGUCUGGUGCUGCGCCCCGCCAAGGGCUACCGGGUGGUGCUGCUCGGCAGCGUGGCGGUGGGCAAGACGGCGCUGGCCACGCAGUUCGCGUGCGGCCGCUUCCCCGAGCGCUGCGAGCCGUCGGUGGAAGAGCUGUUCAGCAAGGUGAUCGAGGUGAACCAGGCGCCCGCGCUGCUGGAGAUCGUGGACACCGUGGGCGCCGAGCACCUGGUCACCCUGAAGGACCUGUACAUCCGGAACAGCGACGGCUUCGUGGUGCUCUACAGCGUGUGCAACGAGGCCUCGUUCGAGGCGGUGCGGCCGCUGCGGGAGCGCAUGGGCCGGCUGCGCGGCGCGCGCGCGGUGCCGCUGGUGCUGGUGGGCACCAAGGCCGACCUGGACGCCGAGCGCCAGGUGCUGACGGCGCAGGGCCGCGCUCUGGCCCGCGAGUGGCGCUGCCCGUUCCUGGAGGUCACGGCCAAGAGCAAGAUGAUGGUGGACCGCGUGUUCACGCAGGUGGUGCGUGAGAUGGAGGCCCUGGCCCCGCCGGAGGAGGCUCCCCGCGUCCCCGCCAACGCCCAGGAGACGUGGCCAUCCGAGAGGUUCAUUGGCUAGUGCGCAGCUGUUGGCCCCGGCCGGUGCUUGCCGCUCUCUGGGGACUUCUGAACUCAGCAUUCACACCCAGUGCCUUUUAUGAGAAAGUUCCCGAACAAGUAGGCCACUUCUGGAGGUGAACCCAAAACAAUGGGUGUCUCGCUUCGAUAUUUGGCAAAAACGAAAAUCGUGCAAUCUUUGGUGACCUCUGACUGUGCUAUAAGAAGAAACCAAAAAUCUCAUUUUCCUGUAGAGAGAAAUUAGUCUUGUUCUUCGAUCAGAGUUUGUUACUCAACCCCCUCCCUCGCCUUCCAGUUUUUUGUAAAGCGCAGCUUCCAAGCUUGGAUUGAUUGAGGAGUGCGUACUAAAGACAAGUUUUCGUCAGUGGCUGGAGGGGUUUCCCUCUCCUUUACAGCAUUGAAUCGCACCAGUAAGAUUUUCCUCCAUAUGAAUUCCUAAAUAUAGUUAUGACCUAGGCAGCAUUGGUUUGAAAGCGGAUACGGUGUGGACAACAGCUGUGUGCGCACACAAAGAUAGCUUGGCUCUACCUUGUAGUUGGCAUCUUGUCCGUUUUUGCAUCCCUACAUUAGAAAUAAAGUUAAGACAUUGGUAAUUUUUAA